GUGCCCGCAAGAGGAACUUGGUGACAGGUGCUGCAUGGCUGUCGUCAGCUCGUGUCGUGAGAUGUUGGGUUAAGUCCCGCAACGAGCGCAACCCUUGUCAUUAGUUGCCAUCAUUAAGUUGGGCACUCUAAUGAGACUGCCGGUGACAAACCGGAGGAAGGUGGGGAUGACGUCAAGUCCUCAUGGCCCUUAUGGGUAGGGCUUCACACGUCAUACAAUGGUCGGUACAAAGGGUUGCCAAGCCGCGAGGUGGAGCCAAUCCCAGAAAGCCGAUCGUAGUCCGGAUCGGAGUCUGCAACUCGACUCCGUGAAGUCGGAAUCGCUAGUAAUCGUGGAUCAGCAUGCCACGGUGAAUACGUUCCCGGGUCUU
RNAcentral lists this ribosomal RNA (370 nucleotides) under uncultured Rhodocyclaceae bacterium. RNAcentral's name for it is "bacterial SSU rRNA". It matches the Rfam family "Bacterial small subunit ribosomal RNA", at positions 1014 to 1382 of the family's 1533-position model. Lineage: Bacteria; Pseudomonadati; Pseudomonadota; Betaproteobacteria; Rhodocyclales; Rhodocyclaceae. The record is from RNAcentral.